CGAACGUGGGGAACCUGCCCAUAGUCUGGGAUACCACUUGGAAACAGGUGCUAAUACCGGAUAAGAAAGCAGAUCGCAUGAUCAGCUUUUAAAAGGCGGCGUAAGCUGUCGCUAUGGGAUGGCCCCGCGGUGCAUUAGCUAGUUGGUAAGGUAAAGGCUUACCAAGGCGAUGAUGCAUAGCCGAGUUGAGAGACUGAUCGGCCACAUUGGGACUGAGACACGGCCCAAACUCCUACGGGAGGCAGCAGCC
This 250-nucleotide ribosomal RNA is filed under the name uncultured Lactobacillus sp. Its description in RNAcentral is "partial 16S ribosomal RNA". It matches the Rfam family "Bacterial small subunit ribosomal RNA", at positions 112 to 355 of the family's 1533-position model. The record is from RNAcentral. Lineage: Bacteria; Bacillati; Bacillota; Bacilli; Lactobacillales; Lactobacillaceae.